Molecule: ribosomal RNA, 164 nt
Filed under: uncultured bacterium
Lineage: Bacteria
Description: partial 16S rRNA
Rfam family: Bacterial small subunit ribosomal RNA
Source: RNAcentral
UAGGGAAUCUUCCACAAUGGGCGAAAGCCUGAUGGAGCAACGCCGCGUGUGUGAUGAAGGGUUUCGGCUCGUAAAACACUGUUGUAAGAGAAGAAUGACAUUGAGAGUAACUGUUCAAUGUGUGACGGUAUCUUACCAGAAAGCCACGGCUAACUACGUGCCAC